This 1802-nucleotide small RNA is filed under the name Kamptonema animale CCALA 139. RNAcentral describes it as "bacterial SSU rRNA". The stretch from base 1 to 1164 matches the Rfam family "Bacterial small subunit ribosomal RNA", at positions 356 to 1533 of the family's 1533-position model. Lineage: Bacteria; Bacillati; Cyanobacteriota; Cyanophyceae; Oscillatoriales; Microcoleaceae. The record is from RNAcentral.
GGGGAAUUUUUCCGCAAUGGGCGAAAGCCUGACGGAGCAAGACCGCGUGAGGGAGGAAGGCUCUUGGGUUGUAAACCUCUUUUCUCUGGGAAGAACAAAAUGACGGUACCAGAGGAAUCAGCAUCGGCUAACUCCGUGCCAGCAGCCGCGGUAAGACGGAGGAUGCAAGCGUUAUCCGGAAUGAUUGGGCGUAAAGCGUCCGCAGGUGGCAAUUCAAGUCUGCUGUUAAAGCGCAGGGCUUAACUCUGUAAAGGCAGUGGAAACUGAAUAGCUAGAGUGUGGUAGGGGCAGAGGGAAUUCCCAGUGUAGCGGUGAAAUGCGUAGAGAUUGGGAAGAACAUCGGUGGCGAAGGCGCUCUGCUGGACCAUAACUGACACUCACAGGACGAAAGCUAGGGGAGCGAAUGGGAUUAGAUACCCCAGUAGUCCUAGCCGUAAACGAUGGAUACUAGGUGUUGUCUGUAUCGACCCGGACAGUGCCGUAGCUAACGCGUUAAGUAUCCCGCCUGGGGAGUACGCACGCAAGUGUGAAACUCAAAGGAAUUGACGGGGGCCCGCACAAGCGGUGGAGUAUGUGGUUUAAUUCGAUGCAACGCGAAGAACCUUACCAGGACUUGACAUGUCGCGAAUCUGAGUGAAAGCUCGGAGUGCCUUCGGGAGCGCGAACACAGGUGGUGCAUGGCUGUCGUCAGCUCGUGUCGUGAGAUGUUGGGUUAAGUCCCGCAACGAGCGCAACCCUCGUUUUUAGUUGCCAGCAUUAAGUUGGGCACUCUAAAGAGACUGCCGGUGACAAACCGGAGGAAGGUGGGGAUGACGUCAAGUCAGCAUGCCCCUUACGUCCUGGGCUACACACGUACUACAAUGGUAGGGACAGAGGGCAGCCAACUCGCGAGAGUGAGCUAAUCCCGUAAACCCUGCCUCAGUUCAGAUCGCAGGCUGCAACUCGCCUGCGUGAAGGCGGAAUCGCUAGUAAUCGCCGGUCAGCAUACGGCGGUGAAUCCGUUCCCGGGCCUUGUACACACCGCCCGUCACACCAUGGAAGUUGGCCAUGCCCGAAGUCGUUACUCUAACCGUAAGGAGGAGGAUGCCGAAGGCAGGGCUGAUGACUGGGGUGAAGUCGUAACAAGGUAGCCGUACCGGAAGGUGUGGCUGGAUCACCUCCUUUUAGGGAGACCAACUGAAAUUAACCUAAUCCACUUUCACGGUUAAUAUUCAGAUAUCCCUGGUCGUUCGAGGAAAUUGUUGUCAAACGUGCUUUCAAACUAUUACCUAGUUCGGUUGAUGGGCUAUUAGCUCAGUUGGUUAGAGCGCACCCCUGAUAAGGGUGAGGUCUCUGGUUCAAAUCCAGAAUGGCCCACCUUAAUUAGAAGUUAAAAAUCUCUAAUUAGAAAUCCUAAAUUUUUAAUUUGUAAUUUUUAAUUUGUAAUUUCCCAAAGCGUGGGGGUAUAGCUCAGUUGGUAGAGCGCUGCCUUUGCAAGGCAGAUGUCAGCGGUUCGAGUCCGCUUACCUCCACUCUUACCCAACCAGCCGAAAACAAACAGAAACAAAAGACCAAAAACAAAAAAAUAAGUCAAAAAACUGUUGCGCUUUUAGCAAUAUGUGAUAGACUAGAAAGAGUGACUAUAAAAGCUCAGCACCUAGAUUCAGCUACUAGCUAAUCGGAAUGCUGGUCUUCCAAGUCCAGCCAGAACCUUGAAAACUGCAUAGAAAUAAGUCAUCAAAAAGUUUGAGAGACAUUUACCAGGAAUUUAUUCUAGGUGAAAGUCAAAUCAAGCCGACAAUCAAAAAAAAAAAGGGUCAAGC